UGGGGAAUCUUCCGCAAUGGACGAAAGUCUGACGGAGCAACGCCGCGUGAGUGAAGAAGGUUUUCGGAUCGUAAAACUCUGUCUUUUGGGGCGAACGUGAGUAUGGUGAACAAUCAUAGUCAGUGACGGUACCAAAGGAGGAAGCCACGGCUAACUACGUGCCAGCAGCCGCGGUAAUACGUAGGUGGCAAGCGUUGUCCGGAAUUAUUGGGCGUAAAGAGCGCGUAGGCGGGAUAGUCAGUCUGUUGUAAAGUGCGGGCUCAACCCCGUGAUGGCAAUGGAAACAGCUAUUCUUGAGUGCAGGAGAGGAAAGUGGAAUUCCCAGUGUAGCGGUGAAAUGCGUAGAUAUUGGGAGGAACACCAGUGGCGAAGGCGACUUUCUGGACUGUGUCUGACGCUGAGGCGCGAAAGCCAGGGGAGCGAACGGGAUUAGAUACCCCGGUAGUCCUGGCCGUAAACGAUGGGUACUAGGUGUGGGGGGUAUCGACCCCUUCCGUGCCGGAGUUAACGCAAUAAGUACCCCGCCUGGGAAGUACGAUCGCAAGAUUAAAACUUAAAGGAAUUGACGGGGGUCAUAGCUGUUUCCUG
RNAcentral lists this ribosomal RNA (588 nucleotides) under uncultured bacterium. Its description in RNAcentral is "partial 16S ribosomal RNA". It matches the Rfam family "Bacterial small subunit ribosomal RNA", at positions 355 to 941 of the family's 1533-position model. The record is from RNAcentral.